This 1389-nucleotide long non-coding RNA is filed under the name Mytilus galloprovincialis (Mediterranean mussel). The record is from RNAcentral. Lineage: Eukaryota; Metazoa; Mollusca; Bivalvia; Mytilida; Mytilidae.
GGGAAAUAUCUGAUUGAUAAAACAUGUAUUACAAAAUACACUUUUCACCUUCUCUCGUAUCUUACCGUAGCAUCAAUCGUCACACCUCGUGCAAAAUUUAAAGAAAAUAGGCUUCAGGCAGAAAACCAUUUGACAAAGAGAAAUGAGAAAUUAUAUUUGUUUGUGACCCUGUAGCUACAGAUAUUAAUUACAAGUCAUAAGAUACGAGGCCAGCAAGCUUCUCAUUUUAUGACUUUUGUAUAUACCAUAUGUAGACUCCCGUAUAAUAUAACUACAGAUGAUACAUGUAAGUCAAUGUAUACAAUCUGGACUAAAUAAGAUAGAAUAUGCAUGUACGUGAUUGGAUUCACAGAAGAAAUAAUUGAAACCAUUCAUAAUCUCUUUAGCAAGGGGUCAGCUUGAUUGGUAAAACAAUUCACCUUUUCUGGGUAGGACCCCGACAGGACAAUCGGAAUAUUAUAAUCAGAUGUUCAUAUUUUUGUUAUAGAUUCUGAUGUUUAUAUCUCAUUAUACCAUAUGAUAUAUAAUAUUACACAAUGCACAUGCAGGUAUCUGCAUUCUGUCGAGGUUACACGUGUAAUUAAAAGUGCAUUCAUUAUCUCGUUUGGCGUCUACUUUUUGGUUGAAAGUAGCCUCAAAGUUUUGUAGUCAAGGGUGUAUAAAACGUAUUUUUUGUAUAGAGUUGCACUAUUGUUUUCCCUUUUUUACCAGUUGCCCCAGACUUAAUAAGACCAGAGAACAUAGAGAUGCAUUGUAUUUUUUUUAUUUGUACCUUCUUUAAGACUGGUUUUGAGAGGAUAGCUUUCUUAUUUUUUUGCACUAAAAAUAUUGCUGCAUCGGGUAAAUGACGCAAAUAGUGUAAUGUCAUUAAGGGAAAAAAUUAUUCUAUAGAAAACGUGUCAAACUGUGAUUUUGUAACGGUUUAGAAACAUAUUUUGCACUAUGAAAUAUAGCUGUCGCAUAAACAGUGCAGUGAAUCGACAUUUCUUCUCGCAUGUUUGAAAUCACAUAAUUUAAGCUUGGAUUAGAAUUAUCUCCCCCUGAAUUUAAUUGAUAGUUAAAUCAAACAUUGGAAUGUGUAGUCGACAUUUAAAACUGCAUGUUAGAUAAAUCACACAUCUUCGUAUUAUCUAAGAUCCGUUCUGUUAAAUAUUGCAUGGCGUUAAUGGUUUCUUAACAUUCCAACAUGUGCUUCCAUCCUCAACUCUGGCAUUUGUCUAGAUAGAAAGAUGAUACACACGGAUAAAAGGAAGAAUUAUACAUUAUUUAAAGAUAUUAAAUUAACCGUUGAGAGAAAUUAUUUCAUAGUUACUGUUCAUAUAAAAAUAAGAUGUGAUAUGAUUGCCAAUAAGACAACCCUCCAUCGAAGACCAAAUCAAGUGGAAAUUG